CUUGCUGGGUGGAUUAGUGGCGAACGGGUGAGUAACACGUGAGUAACCUGCCCCUGACUCUGGGAUAAGCGUUGGAAACGACGUCUAAUACUGGAUAUGAUCACCGGCCGCAUGGUCUGGUGGUGGAAAGAUUUUUUGGUUGGGGAUGGACUCGCGGCCUAUCAGCUUGUUGGUGAGGUAAUGGCUCACCAAGGCGACGACGGGUAGCCGGCCUGAGAGGGUGACCGGCCACACUGGGACUGAGACACGGCCCAGACUCCUACGGGAGGCAGCAGUGGGGAAUAUUGCACAAUGGGCGAAAGCCUGAUGCAGCAACGCCGCGUGAGGGAUGACGGCCUUCGGGUUGUAAACCUCUUUUAGUAGGGAAGAAGCGAAAGUGACGGUACCUGCAGAAAAAGCACCGGCUAACUACGUGCCAGCAGCCGCGGUAAUACGUAGGGUGCAAGCGUUGUCCGGAAUUAUUGGGCGUAAAGAGCUCGUAGGCGGUUUGUCGCGUCUGCUGUGAAAUCCCGAGGCUCAACCUCGGGCUUGCAGUGGGUACGGGCAGACUAGAGUGCGGUAGGGGAGAUUGGAAUUCCUGGUGUAGCGGUGGAAUGCGCAGAUAUCAGGAGGAACACCGAUGGCGAAGGCAGAUCUCUGGGCCGUAACUGACGCUGAGGAGCGAAAGCGUGGGGAGCGAACAGGAUUAGAUACCCUGGUAGUCCACGCCGUAAACGUUGGGCGCUAGAUGUAGGGACCUUUCCACGGUUUCUGUGUCGUAGCUAACGCAUUAAG
Molecule: ribosomal RNA, 774 nt
Filed under: Curtobacterium oceanosedimentum
Lineage: Bacteria; Bacillati; Actinomycetota; Actinomycetes; Micrococcales; Microbacteriaceae
Description: bacterial SSU rRNA
Rfam family: Bacterial small subunit ribosomal RNA
Source: RNAcentral